This 869-nucleotide ribosomal RNA is filed under the name uncultured soil bacterium. Its description in RNAcentral is "bacterial SSU rRNA". It matches the Rfam family "Bacterial small subunit ribosomal RNA", at positions 56 to 925 of the family's 1533-position model. The record is from RNAcentral.
UGCAGCUCGAGCUGCGCGCUACGAUAACAAUACGGAUGGCGCACGGCGCACGGGUGCGUAACACGUGGGCAAUCUGCCCUUCGAUGGGGAAUAACUCCGGGAAACCGAAGCUAAUUCCGCAUAACAUUCCUUGGACUCCGGUUCGAGGAUUCAAAGCCGUAAGGCGUCGAAGGAGGAGCCCGCGCCCGAUUAGCUAGUUGGUAGGGUAACGGCCUACCAAGGCUUUGAUCGGUAGCUGGUCUGAGAGGAUGGCCAGCCACACUGGAACUGAGACACGGUCCAGACUCCUACGGGAGGCAGCAGUGGGGAAUCUUGCGCAAUGGGCGAAAGCCUGACGCAGCGACGCCGCGUGGGGGAUGAAGCAUCUCGGUGUGUAAACCCCUUUCGACUGGGACGAAUGCCUCGCAAGAGGAGUGACGGUACCAGUAGAAGAAGCCCCGGCUAACUACGUGCCAGCAGCCGCGGUAAGACGUAGGGGGCCAGCGUUGUUCGGAAUUACUGGGUGUAAAGGGUCAGUAGGCGGUGUGGCAAGUCGGGAGUGAAAUCUAUGGGCUCAACCCAUAGGCUGCUUCCGAAACUGCCAUGCUUGAGUGUGGGAGAGGCGCGUGGAAUUGCAGGUGUAGCGGUGAAAUGCGUAGAUAUCUGCAGGAACACCCGUGGCGAAAGCGGCGCGCUGGACCACAACUGACGCUGAAUGACGAAAGCUAGGGGAGCAAACAGGAUUAGAUACCCUGGUAGUCCUAGCCCUAAACGAUCAGGACUUGGGGUGCCGCACGUUCGUGCGUCGUCCCGGAGCUAACGCGUUAAGUCCUGCACCUGGGGAGUACGGUCGCAAGACUGAAACUCAAAGGAAUUGACGGGGGCCCGCA